GACGAACGCUGGCGGCGUGCUUAAUACAUGCAAGUCAACUUGACUUUAGAUAGCAAUAUCGAAAAGUAGGGUGGCGCACGGGUGCGUAACGCGUAGGUAAUCUGCCCUGAGGUCUGACAUAACCCGUCGAAAGGCGGGCUAACAUCAGAUGAUAUAUAAUCACGACAUCGUGGAAAUAUCAAAUCUUCGGAGCCUUGGGAUGAGCCUGCGUCUGAUUAGGUAGUUGGCGGAGUAAUAGCCCACCAAGCCUACGAUCAGUAGCUGGUCUGAGAGGAUGAUCAGCCACACUGGAACUGAGACACGGUCCAGACUCCUACGGGAGCAGCAGUAAGGAAUAUUGCUCAAUGGGGGAAACCCUGAAGCAGCAACGCCGCGUGAAGGAUGAAAUACUUUUGUAUGUAAACUUCUGUAAGAUGGGAAAAAUAUUCUCCUCGGGAGAAUUGAUUGUACCAUCAGAGUAAGCCCCGGCUAACUACGUGCCAGCA
Molecule: ribosomal RNA, 485 nt
Filed under: uncultured bacterium
Lineage: Bacteria
Description: bacterial SSU rRNA
Rfam family: Bacterial small subunit ribosomal RNA
Source: RNAcentral